GAGUUUGAUCAUGGCUCAGGACGAACGCUGGCGGCGUGCCUAAUACAUGCAAGUAGAACGCUGAAGAGAGGAGCUUGCUCUUCUUGGAUGAGUUGCGAACGGGUGAGUAACGCGUAGGUAACCUGCCUUGUAGCGGGGGAUAACUAUUGGAAACGAUAGCUAAUACCGCAUAACAAUGGAUGACACAUGUCAUUUAUUUGAAAGGGGCAAUUGCUCCACUACAAGAUGGACCUGCGUUGUAUUAGCUAGUAGGUGAGGUAACGGCUCACCUAGGCGACGAUACAUAGCCGACCUGAGAGGGUGAUCGGCCACACUGGGACUGAGACACGGCCCAGACUCCUACGGGAGGCAGCAGUAGGGAAUCUUCGGCAAUGGGGGCAACCCUGACCGAGCAACGCCGCGUGAGUGAAGAAGGUUUUCGGAUCGUAAAGCUCUGUUGUAAGUCAAGAACGAGUGUGAGAGUGGAAAGUUCACACUGUGACGGUAGCUUACCAGAAAGGGACGGCUAACUACGUGCCAGCAGCCGCGGUAAUACGUAGGUCCCGAGCGUUGUCCGGAUUUAUUGGGCGUAAAGCGAGCGCAGGCGGUUUGAUAAGUCUGAAGUUAAAGGCUGUGGCUCAACCAUAGUUCGCUUUGGAAACUGUCAAACUUGAGUGCAGAAGGGGAGAGUGGAAUUCCAUGUGUAGCGGUGAAAUGCGUAGAUAUAUGGAGGAACACCGGUGGCGAAAGCGGCUCUCUGGUCUGUAACUGACGCUGAGGCUCGAAAGCGUGGGGAGCGAACAGGAUUAGAUACCCUGGUAGUCCACGCCGUAAACGAUGAGUGCUAGGUGUUGGAUCCUUUCCGGGAUUCAGUGCCGCAGCUAACGCAUUAAGCACUCCGCCUGGGGAGUACGACCGCAAGGUUGAAACUCAAAGGAAUUGACGGGGGCCCGCACAAGCGGUGGAGCAUGUGGUUUAAUUCGAAGCAACGCGAAGAACCUUACCAGGUCUUGACAUCCCGAUGCUAUUUCUAGAGAUAGAAAGUUACUUCGGUACAUCGGUGACAGGUGGUGCAUGGUUGUCGUCAGCUCGUGUCGUGAGAUGUUGGGUUAAGUCCCGCAACGAGCGCAACCCCUAUUGUUAGUUGCCAUCAUUCAGUUGGGCACUCUAGCGAGACUGCCGGUAAUAAACCGGAGGAAGGUGGGGAUGACGUCAAAUCAUCAUGCCCCUUAUGACCUGGGCUACACACGUGCUACAAUGGUUGGUACAACGAGUUGCGAGUCGGUGACGGCAAGCUAAUCUCUUAAAGCCAAUCUCAGUUCGGAUUGUAGGCUGCAACUCGCCUACAUGAAGUCGGAAUCGCUAGUAAUCGCGGAUCAGCACGCCGCGGUGAAUACGUUCCCGGGCCUUGUACACACCGCCCGUCACACCACGAGAGUUUGUAACACCCGAAGUCGGUGAGGUAACCUUUUGGAGCCAGCCGCCUAAGGUGGGAUAGAUGAU
This 1482-nucleotide ribosomal RNA is filed under the name Streptococcus salivarius. Its description in RNAcentral is "bacterial SSU rRNA". It matches the Rfam family "Bacterial small subunit ribosomal RNA". Lineage: Bacteria; Bacillati; Bacillota; Bacilli; Lactobacillales; Streptococcaceae. The record is from RNAcentral.